AGGACAAUGGAAAGGUCCUGAUCCAGUGAUUGUCUGGAGUCAGGGAUCUGUUUGUGUGUUUCCACAGGGAAAACAGCAGCUGAUUUGGAUUCCAGAGAGAUUAACUAAAGCAAUUUCUACAGACCAAAAAAAAGAUGACUUGGCUCAAAUCCAUAAGAGCUGAUAUCCUUACAUCUGUGACAGUGGUUCUCCCACACCUGGAGUCUAAUGAAUAAUGAACACCAUUAAAGCCUAUUUCAAAUGUAAAAAACCUUGGGGCUUGCUUGUGGGAAUACCUUCAGACCCAUAUGCAAGUUACAGGAAGAAGGAUGAGAUAUCAAAAGAAGAGUCAAACCCAGGUGGUAACCAGGAUGCUUUUUUCAAUAUCUAUUUUAUUAUUGCCUUUUCCAACAUCAUGAAGUUCUAUUUUAUUUUUUGAGCUCAUACAGAUCUAGGUUAAUGUUUUUCUGUUCAGUUCUAAUUUUGACUCCGGAGAUUUUAAACAUUGCAAUGGAGAUUUCACCUGUGAAAAGCUAUAAGGCCUUUACUAUUAUGUUAUGUAUUGUAUGUAUUGUAUUAUGUGUGCACACUUGUGUUUUGUGUUGUAUGUCUGUAUGUGCAUAUGUCCAUAUAUCAUAUAUGAGGAGCGCUCAUGAAAAAAUGGAUCCAAAUAUUUUUUUUUUAUUCACGUGAUUUAAAUGGUUUAAUUUAAAUUGGAUAAACAGCUGUUGAGGAUUGUUUUUAAAGGUGGUUAACAGAUCUGUUUGCUUACUUUCACCUUUCCUUUUCAUUAUAUUUAAUAAUUCUGCUCAGGAUAAUGUAAAUUGUUCAGAAAAUUGUUUUCUUAGUGCCUGCUGGAAUGUUACAUAAUUUUUUUAGCCAUCAUUGCCAGAAUUCCUAUCUUCAUCCUAGUGCCGGUGAAGACAAAGAUAAAACCAAACUACAGCUUCUUCGAUAGCUAUCACAGUAAACUGUAUAAACUGAUGCAUCAAUGAAUAAUAACUCAACAAGUGAUGCUCAAUCAAGGAGUCAAUUUACUUUGGGAGGAAAUGGACAUAUUAAUGGAUUCCUCUGCUUUGAACUGCUUGCAGAACUUGCCUGGACUAUGAAUCCCUUGUAUGCAUUGUGAACUAUCUGUUGGUGCAGCAAAUUGUGGAGUGCUGGGGUAUCUUUGCUGAUGGUGUCAUCGGUGGUCCAAUUUUUCCAAAAAGAACCAUCAUUUGGCUUGGUGUCAUGGCAAUUUGCAUCCUCCUCCCUUCUGCUUGUGAUGGUCUAAAAUUUGGGGGCCAACAGAGGUGAGACAAAGAUCCUCACACCCCCACACUGGCACCAAGGCCAAAUUUGGGGGCCAACAGAAUGAGGCAAAGAACCUCACCCCCCACUGGCACCAAGGCCAAAUUUGGGGGCCAACAGAGGUGAGGCAAAUAACCUCACCCCCCCCCACUGACAC
This 1429-nucleotide long non-coding RNA is filed under the name Marmota monax (woodchuck). Lineage: Eukaryota; Metazoa; Chordata; Mammalia; Rodentia; Sciuridae. The record is from RNAcentral.